ACCAACAGGACUACAGGGCAGACCAACAGGUCCCCAGGGCAGACCAACAGGACUACAGGGCAGACCAACAGGACUACAGGACAGACCAACAGGACUACAGGACAGACCAACAGGACCACAGGGCAGACCAACAGGACUACAGGACAGACCAACAGGUCCCCAGGGCAGACCAACAGGACUACAGGGCAGACCAACAGGACUACAGGACAGACCAACAGGACUACAGGGCAG
Molecule: long non-coding RNA, 231 nt
Organism: Melanotaenia boesemani (Boeseman's rainbowfish)
Lineage: Eukaryota; Metazoa; Chordata; Actinopteri; Atheriniformes; Melanotaeniidae
Exons: 3
Source: RefSeq, a predicted model, not a curated record